UUAAUAAUUUAUUUACUGUGUUGUUCCCCAAAAUAUGACAAACCCAGUAAAUAAAUUAAUAAGCAGGUUAAUAAUCAUCACACAAAGUCCAGAUUAAAGGAGUUUUUAUUCUUCCUCAUUAUCUUCCUCUUCCUCCUGUCUUCAUCUGCACAUUCUGAGGAGCAGAAUGAAUAAUGAUCACUCAUUUGCCAGAUUCUUUCUCUGCCCGCAGCAACGUCCAAAAUUAGCACACGUGCACGGGGACGUGUGCACACGCCCACACAAGCCUGCGCAUGCGCGCUCUGAGAUGAGAUUAAAGAAAGCAACUCGUCCUUAUGUUUAGGCGUCUGUAUGAUUUGUGUCUGAGAUUUWAAAAAAAACAACAAGAAGUAUACAUUUGUUCAUAACAAAUCAAUCAGAAAUGUUCUUGUACAGGUUUGUGCAGCAGCGCCCUCUGCUGGAUACACAGUGUAAAUAUGGAUUUCUUCCUUGUGUUCUGAUCCCUGCAGGGGUCGGGCUUGUUUUUAAAAACACGUCCUGCCAAAAUAAAAGCACCCCUGUUCUCUCUGCCUCCAGUCAUGUUCAAAAAUAAAAUACCCUAACAAUCCCAGGAGCGUUUAUCUAUCAGACCAGUUUCUGCUUCACUGAUAAAACCUGAGAGAGAG
Molecule: long non-coding RNA, 644 nt
Organism: Austrofundulus limnaeus
Lineage: Eukaryota; Metazoa; Chordata; Actinopteri; Cyprinodontiformes; Rivulidae
Exons: 3
Source: RefSeq, a predicted model, not a curated record